RNAcentral lists this ribosomal RNA (460 nucleotides) under uncultured bacterium. Its description in RNAcentral is "partial 16S ribosomal RNA". It matches the Rfam family "Bacterial small subunit ribosomal RNA", at positions 338 to 795 of the family's 1533-position model. The record is from RNAcentral.
CCUACGGGAGGCAGCAGUGAGGAAUAUUGGUCAAUGGGCGGGAGCCUGAACCAGCCAAGUCGCGUGAGGGAAGACGGUCCUAUGGAUUGUAAACCUCUUUAGGCGGGGAGCAAUGCCGGGCACGUGUGCCCGGAGGGAGAGUACCCGCAGAAUAAGCAUCGGCUAACUCCGUGCCAGCAGCCGCGGUAAUACGGAGGAUGCGAGCGUUCUCCGGAUUUAUUGGGGUUAAGGGGUGCGUAGGCGGAUGUUUAAGUCAGCGGUAAAAUGUCCGGGCUCAACCCGGGCCGGCCGUUGAGACUGGGGAGCUUGAGUGGGCGAGAAGUAUGUGGAAUGCGUGGUGUAGCGGUGAAAUGCAUAGAUAUCACGCAGAACUCCGAUUGCGAAGGCAGCAUACCGGAGCCCGACUGACGCUGAGGCACGAAAGCGUGGGGAUCGAACAGGAUUAGAUACCCCAGUAGUC